GGUUUGAGAAGAAGGGCCCCGGAAAGGGUACUGGAGACACGGACCCCAGGCCCUAUGGGGCGCAGCAGGCGAGAAACCUUUGCAAUGUGCGAAAGCACGACAAGGUUAAUCCGAGUGUCUCCUGCUAAAGGAGUCUUUUGUCAGUUGUAGAAUCACUGGUGAAUAAGGGGUGGGCAAGUUCUGGUGUCAGCCGCCGCGGUAAAACCAGCACCUCGAGUGGUCAGGAGGUUUAUUGGGCCUAAAGCAUCCGUAGCCGGUUGCAUAAGUUUUCGGUUAAAUCUAUGCGCUUAACGUAUAGGCCGCCGAAAAUACUGUGCAGCUAGGGAGUGGGAGAGGUACACGGUACUCGAUAGGAAGGGGUAAAAUCCUUUGAUCUAUUGAAGACCACCUGUGGCGAAGGCGGUGUACCAGAACACGUUCGACGGUGAGGGAUGAAAGCUGGGGGAGCAAACCGGAUUAGAUACCCGGGUAGUCCCAGCUGUAAACGAUGCAGACUCGGUGAUGCAUUGGCUUGUGGCCAAUGCAGUGCCGCAGGGAAGCCGUUAAGUCUGCCGCCUGGGAAGUACGUACGCAAGUAUGAACUAAAGGAAUUGGCGGGGGAGCACCACAAGGGGUGAAGCCUGCGGUUCAAUUGGAGUCAACGCAG
This 646-nucleotide ribosomal RNA is filed under the name uncultured archaeon. RNAcentral describes it as "bacterial SSU rRNA". It matches the Rfam family "Archaeal small subunit ribosomal RNA", at positions 273 to 920 of the family's 1478-position model. The record is from RNAcentral.